Molecule: ribosomal RNA, 811 nt
Filed under: Mycobacterium sp.
Lineage: Bacteria; Bacillati; Actinomycetota; Actinomycetes; Mycobacteriales; Mycobacteriaceae
Description: bacterial SSU rRNA
Rfam family: Bacterial small subunit ribosomal RNA
Source: RNAcentral
UGAGUAACACGUGGGUGAUCUGCCCUGCACUUUGGGAUAAGCCUGGGAAACUGGGUCUAAUACCGAAUACACCCUGCUGGUCGCAUGGCCUGGUGGGGGAAAGCUUUUGCGGUGUGGGAUGGGCCCGCGGCCUAUCAGCUUGUUGGUGGGGUGAUGGCCUACCAAGGCGACGACGGGUAGCCGGCCUGAGAGGGUGACCGGCCACACUGGGACUGAGAUACGGCCCAGACUCCUACGGGAGGCAGCAGUGGGGAAUAUUGCACAAUGGGCGCAAGCCUGAUGCAGCGACGCCGCGUGGGGGAUGACGGCCUUCGGGUUGUAAACCCCUUUCGCCAGGGACGAAGCGCAAGUGACGGUACCUGGAGAAGAAGGACCGGCCAACUACGUGCCAGCAGCCGCGGUAAUACGUAGGGUCCGAGCGUUGUCCGGAAUUACUGGGCGUAAAGAGCUCGUAGGUGGUUUGUCGCGUUGUCCGUGAAAACUCACAGCUUAACUGUGGGCGUGCGGGCGAUACGGGCAGACUAGAGUACUGCAGGGGAGACUGGAAUUCCUGGUGUAGCGGUGGAAUGCGCAGAUAUCAGGAGGAACACCGGUGGCGAAGGCGGGUCUCUGGGCAGUAACUGACGCUGAGGAGCGAAAGCGUGGGGAGCGAACAGGAUUAGAUACCCUGGUAGUCCACGCCGUAAACGGUGGGUACUAGGUGUGGGUUUCCUUCCUUGGGAUCCGUGCCGUAGCUAACGCAUUAAGUACCCCGCCUGGGGAGUACGGCCGCAAGGCUAAAACUCAAAGGAAUUGACGGGGGCCCGCACAA